UACGUAGGUGGCAAGCGUUGUCCGGAUUUACUGGGCGUAAAGAGUGCGCAGGCGGUCGUACAAGUCGCGUGUGAAAGCCCCCGGCUCAACUGGGGAGGGUCACGCGAUACUGUUCGACUCGAAGGCAGGAGAGGGAAGCGGAAUUCCCGGUGUAGUGGUGAAAUGCGUAGAUAUCGGGAGGAACACCAGUGGCGAAGGCGGCUUCCUGGCCUGUUCUUGACGCUGAGGCGCGAAAAGCUAGGGUAGCAAACGGG
Molecule: ribosomal RNA, 254 nt
Filed under: uncultured bacterium
Lineage: Bacteria
Description: partial 16S ribosomal RNA
Rfam family: Bacterial small subunit ribosomal RNA
Source: RNAcentral